AACGAACGCUGGCGGCGUGCCUAACACAUGCAAGUCGAACGAGAAAGGGGCUUCGGCUCCGCGUAAAGUUGCGCACGGGUUAGUAACACGUGGGUAACCUGCCUCUAAUAUUGGGAUAACUCGUCUAAAGAUGAGCUAAUACCGAAUAAGACCACAGUUCCCGCGGGAACAGGGGUCAAAGUUAGCCUCUGCUUGCAAGCUAUCACUUAGAGUUCGGCCUGCGCACCAUUAGCUAGUUGGUAGGGUAACGGCCUACCAAGGCAAAGGUGGUUAGCUGGUCUGAGAGGAGGGUCAGCCAAACUGGGAAUGGGACAAGGUCCAGACUCCUACGGGGGGCAGCAGUGGGGAAUAUUGCGCAAUGGGGGGAAGCUUGACGCAGGAAAGCCGAGGGAGUGAUGAAGGGCUUCGGGUCGUAAAGCUCUGUCGGGAGGAACGAAUGAUACUGAGGUUAACAGCCUCGGGAGGUGACGGUACCUACAAAGGAAGCACCGGCUAACUCUGUG
RNAcentral lists this ribosomal RNA (503 nucleotides) under uncultured bacterium. RNAcentral's name for it is "partial 16S ribosomal RNA". It matches the Rfam family "Bacterial small subunit ribosomal RNA", at positions 29 to 507 of the family's 1533-position model. The record is from RNAcentral.